RNAcentral lists this unclassified non-coding RNA (1293 nucleotides) under Hevea brasiliensis (rubber tree). Lineage: Eukaryota; Viridiplantae; Streptophyta; Magnoliopsida; Malpighiales; Euphorbiaceae. The record is from RNAcentral.
AAUUACUAAAAUGUAACCCACCCCACAUCCAGGAGCACUUCCAUUCCAAUUGUACAGCACUCUGUUCUGGAAUGGAACUAGCUAGAAAUUGAAGGCAUAUGGGAGGUGUAUUGAAAUGAAAAUAACAAUAGCAUCGUGGAGGUCUUAAGUCCUACCACCAGACAACCAAAAUGUGGUUAUUUGAAAAAUCCUACAAAGUUAUAAAACUUAUUUUCAUGAUUCAUUUAGACUAUAUGUCAAUAUAAAAAUAACUUCCCAAAGCAAUUUCCAUCUUUGUUAUACUCACACUACCUUGAAGAACACUCUUUGGUGAGAAGUUCAAUCCUUGAGAUGUGACACCUUUGGCAUUUUUUAUGUUUCUGUUGUUGCCUCCAUCGAUCAGAUUCUUCAGACCAACAUUGUCGCUACAAUUGACAUUCCUAUCAGCAAUACUGUUAGUCUUGUGACUGUUGCUACUUCCACCCUUGUUAGUUCCCACAGUUGCUGUGGUAAUGGUCGUCCGUGGGAACACAGCUGUUGAUCAUGAUUGCAUUGGCAUUUAUACAGCCAGCAAUGCCCCUAAGGUUCAAGCUCGUACUAAUGCCUUUCUAGCAACUAACCACAAUAACAGCUUUGGUUGUACAACCAAUGAUUUUGGCAUCAACACUAUUGCAUGCGUUGCCAUAGUUUUUAUGGCUUUUAUGAGUGCCAUUUGAGAGAACUGCAGUGGUUGAAGUGCAAUCACUGGUGUUUGGAUUCUGCGAAGUCUUGCUUGAAUUUUUCAGUGGUGUUGCAUUAGAAGCAGUGAUCGUUUGGGAAGCUUCCACAGGCUUUCUUGAACACUGACGGCCUCCGUGCUUAUGCUGCUCACAAUACUUCUGACCAGAAACCACAUUUUUCUUACACCUCCAUUUCUUCCCAACAGAUCUUCUACACCUCCCUGGUUCUGGGUCCAUCUUAUUUAUAUCAAAUUCCUGAGGAAGCUUGGAUAUAAUCUACAGAUUCCACCAUUAACGAAGCCAAAAGAUGAAGACACGCUCUUCCAAAAGGGAAGUACUUGUACAGGAAGUCCAGCUGCUGAGUACUUGUAUAUAAUCAGUUGUCGCUGAAGCUCACACAGCUGUGCCUCUGUUAGCAGAGCCUUCCCAUGUCUGAUCACGGGGCCACGAUCAUCAUCGCCAAUCCCAAUACAAACCUUCAUCGAUGAUGAUGCUGCUCCUUCCCUUACCUGAUGAUCAUCACCCUUCUUUACUUCAGUCACCAGCGUCCGUACUUUAUCAUCACUAUUACGGGGCCACCUGUAUGGAAGAUGAA